GACGAACGCUGGCGGCGUGCUUAAUACAUGCAAGUCAACUGAACUUAAAGUAGCAAUAUUUUGAGGGAGGUGGCGCACGGGUGAGUAACACGUAGGUAAUCUGCCUUUAGGUCUGACAUAAUUCCGCGAAAGCGGGACUAAUAUCAGAUGAUGCAGCGGCUCGACAUCGAGACAGUUGUUAAACCUUCGGGCCUAAAGAUGAGCCUGCGUCUGAUUAGGAGUUGGCGGAGUAAAAGCCCACCAAGCCUGCGAUCAGUAGCUGGUCUGAGAGGAUGAUCAGCCACACUGGAACUGAGACACGGUCCAGACUCCUACGGGAGGCAGCAGUAAGGAAUAUUGCUCAAUGGCCGAAAGGCUGAAGCAGCAACG
RNAcentral lists this ribosomal RNA (369 nucleotides) under uncultured bacterium. RNAcentral's name for it is "bacterial SSU rRNA". It matches the Rfam family "Bacterial small subunit ribosomal RNA", at positions 28 to 396 of the family's 1533-position model. The record is from RNAcentral.